CCUACGGGAGGCUGCAGUGGGGAAUAUUGGACAAUGGGGGGAACCCUGAUCCAGCGACGCCGCGUGAGUGAAGAAGUAUUUCGGUAUGUAAAGCUCUAUCAGCAGGGAAGAAAGAAAUGACGGUACCUGACUAAGAAGCCCCGGCUAACUACGUGCCAGCAGCCGCGGUAAUACGUAGGGGGCAAGCGUUAUCCGGAUUUACUGGGUGUAAAGGGAGCGUAGACGGCGAUGCAAGUCUGAAGUGAAAGGCGGGGGCUCAACCCCUGGACUGCUUUGGAAACUGUAUGGCUGGAGUGCAGGAGAGGUAAGUGGAAUUCCUAGUGUAGCGGUGAAAUGCGUAGAUAUUAGGAGGAACACCAGUGGCGAAGGCGGCUUACUGGACUGUAACUGACGUUGAGGCUCGAAAGCGUGGGGAGCAAACAGGAUUAGAUACCCCAGUAGUC
RNAcentral lists this ribosomal RNA (443 nucleotides) under uncultured bacterium. RNAcentral's name for it is "partial 16S ribosomal RNA". It matches the Rfam family "Bacterial small subunit ribosomal RNA", at positions 338 to 795 of the family's 1533-position model. The record is from RNAcentral.